AUCCAGCUGACGAGUCCCAAAUGAGACGAAACGAGCGUACUGGAU
Non-coding RNA from Schistosoma mansoni, 45 nucleotides. The record is from Rfam. NCBI's taxonomy places the organism in Eukaryota, Metazoa, Platyhelminthes, Trematoda, Strigeidida, Schistosomatidae.